GGGGCCGCUUUGGUUUCGACAGGUAUAUAGAGAUUAAAAUUGCAAGUCGAGGGCACUCGUUAAAUGCACAGUUAAAUAUAACUGGAAAAUCUGAAAAAGGUGCUUUUGGUAGCGCCAAUUUAGCAUUCGCCUAAAAGAAAAAGCGAAGCUGCUCUUGUUUGUUCCUCUCCCAUGGGAAUUUGCAAGGGCUCAAAUUUAAUGGGAUAUAUUAUUGCCUUGCCUAAAGACAAUAACGAACUUAAUAGGCUUACUAAUAAAUUAGUUGUUAGCUACUGUAUUUAUUAGGACACUUCUUAGCUAACUAAACUUGUAGAGAUUUUCUUUGAAAUAUAUUUGGACAGGAGUUCGAUUCUCCUCGGCUCCACCA
This 367-nucleotide transfer-messenger RNA is filed under the name Bacilli bacterium. It matches the Rfam family "transfer-messenger RNA". From Rfam's summary of the family: Bacterial tmRNA, also known as 10Sa RNA or SsrA, is named for its dual tRNA and mRNA-like properties. Its role is to liberate the mRNA from a stalled ribosome. To accomplish this part of the tmRNA is used as a reading frame that ends in a translation stop signal. The record is from RNAcentral. Lineage: Bacteria; Bacillati; Bacillota; Bacilli. RNAcentral also lists the same sequence under 2 other names.